CUACGGGCGGCAGCAGUGGGGAAUAUUGGGCAAUGGGCGCAAGCCUGACCCAGCAACGCCGCGUGAGGAAAGAAGGUUUUCGGAUUGUAAACCUCUGUCCUUGGGGACGAAGAAGUGACGGUACCCAAGGAGGAAGCUCCGGCUAACUACGUGCCAGCAGCCGCGGUAAUACGUAGGGAGCAAGCGUUGUCCGGAAUUACUGGGCGGAAAGGGUGCGUAGGUGGCAUAUUAAGUCAGGUGUGAAAUACUCGGGCUCAACCCGGGGGCUGCAUUUGAAACUGAUAUGCUUGAGUGUGAGAGAGGAAAGUGGAAUUCCUAGUGUAGCGGUGGAAUGCGUAGAUAUUAGGAGGAACACCAGUGGCGAAGGCGACUUUCUGGCUCAUAACUGACGCUGAGGCACGAAAGCGUGGGGAGCAAACAGGAUUAGAUACCCCGGUAGUC
This 441-nucleotide ribosomal RNA is filed under the name uncultured bacterium. RNAcentral describes it as "partial 16S ribosomal RNA". It matches the Rfam family "Bacterial small subunit ribosomal RNA", at positions 339 to 795 of the family's 1533-position model. The record is from RNAcentral.